CGGAGGUGGUCUUUUUGAGCAAUCUCAUGCAUGGGAUUGUAACAUUGACAAGGACAAUUGACAGUGGAUAGCAGGCAUCGAAGUUCUUGUCGAAAACCUGAUCAACUUUCUCAAGGAAGAGUACUCUCUACUACGAAGUGUCGAUAAAGAUGCCAAACAGCUCCAGAAACUUUGGAGAUGAUUCAAGCAUACUUGAGUGAGGCUGAGAAGAAAUCCACCACCCAAGCUGUCAAGAUCUGGUUGAGGCAACUUGAAGCUGUGGCUUUCAAUGCUGAUAACGUCAUGGAUGAACUCAACUAUCAUUUUCUCUACCAAAAAGCGAGGCCGGAGAAUAAGUUUGACCACAGGUGUUCUAAAUCCACAUUCAGCGGAAUCGGAUUAAUCCUACUCG
Long non-coding RNA from Salvia splendens (bonfire salvia), 391 nucleotides. RefSeq lists it as uncharacterized. The transcript has 3 exons. NCBI's taxonomy places the organism in Eukaryota, Viridiplantae, Streptophyta, Magnoliopsida, Lamiales, Lamiaceae. The record is from RefSeq and is a predicted model, not a curated record.